CUCGUAGGCGGUUUGUCACGUCGUCUGUGAAAUCCUAGGGCUUAACCCUGGACGUGCAGGCGAUACGGGCUGACUUGAGUACUACAGGGGAGACUGGAAUUUCUGGUGUAGCGGUGGAAUGCACAGAUAUCAGGAAGAACACCGAUGGCGAAGGCAGGUCUCUGGGUAGUAACUGACGCUGAGGAGCGAAAGCAUGGGUAGCGAACA
This 207-nucleotide ribosomal RNA is filed under the name uncultured bacterium. RNAcentral's name for it is "partial 16S ribosomal RNA". It matches the Rfam family "Bacterial small subunit ribosomal RNA", at positions 568 to 774 of the family's 1533-position model. The record is from RNAcentral.